GUUGUCGUCAGCUUGUGCCGUAAGACGUUGGGUUAAGUCCCACAAUGAGCGCAACCCUCGUGUUUAUUUGCCAAUGUUGCGUUUGGAACCCUAAGGAGACACCCGAUGAUAAGCCGGAGGAAGGUCCAAUUGGAGUCAAUU
This is a ribosomal RNA of Lupinus angustifolius (narrow-leaved blue lupine), 141 nucleotides long. It matches the Rfam family "Bacterial small subunit ribosomal RNA", at positions 1048 to 1190 of the family's 1533-position model. The record is from Rfam. NCBI's taxonomy places the organism in Eukaryota, Viridiplantae, Streptophyta, Magnoliopsida, Fabales, Fabaceae.